This is a non-coding RNA of Bemisia tabaci, 1496 nucleotides long. The record is from RefSeq and is a predicted model, not a curated record. Lineage: Eukaryota; Metazoa; Arthropoda; Insecta; Hemiptera; Aleyrodidae.
CAUGUUUUAUCAAGGGAAAUUUGGCAACUCUCAAAUAUUCAUACGGCGUUCUUCCUUAGCACGGCAGUGCUGCGGGGAUACUUCUCAUUGACUACUGAAAAAGUUAACUAAAAGGAAACAUGUUAAAUUAACAGCAUAACCAGAAAAAUGUUGAAUUGAAGAAUGAACCGCGCGUUUAGAAUUACACGAGCAAUGUCGCCGUUACUUUGAUUUUAAAGAAAGAAAGCAGCAAAAAUUACAUUGGGAUACAAGGAUAUGUAAUUGAUUUUGUCUUUGAAAUAAUUAAAUUACCUUAGAUUGUGCUUUGAAUUGAAACAAGGCCGAACGUACUUACAAUUUUGUGCUCGAGUGUUCGUUCUAAUGAAGUGUCAUCAAUGGAGAAAAUUUUAUCGGAAUAAAAUUGUGUCCUCGGAACACAAAGCAGUGCAUUUGAUGGCUGGAACUGGCUGGAACACGACUCACAAGUAUAAGGUAAGUUCAUACUUAUAACUUGUUAAACAGUCUAGGGAAAUAACAAGAGAUAGAAUUCAAAGCAGUAUAGAAGAGAAAUUACAGAGCAGAGGAUUUUAAUUAUCGAGAAAAGAAGGGUUUCCCUCACACUAGCUUUUCCGGUAAAUUCGUUAGUCUUAUGACAAUAAAAAAAAUGAGCCUUACAUGAUAAUAUAAAAAAUAGAGACAAGAAAGUGACGUAAUCGUAGCAACCCUUAAGACAGGAGGAUGGAAGAAUAUUUAAGCAAUGUGGCAACGCCGUUACUUCCCCGCCUCCCGCCACUGGCCACUCUGCAGUUUGCUGCGUGAGGAAAACAAAGGAAGAUGCCGUUGAGCAAGGGAAGAUUUGGAAAUUCCACCCCAAACCUACGCGGCCGAGGGCUCGCGGGGCUCGCGUUGGUCUGAUCUGAUCAGUCUAGGACUACGAUUAGUCUUACUGCCUGCGUAUCAUUAGCGUGUCGCCGCUCAGAUUUUUCUUCUGUGUUGCUUUAAAUUUUCUCGUUUUUUCCCUAGACCGUUUAACAAAUUAUCAGUAUGAUCUUACCUUAUACCUGUGAGUUGUGCUCCAGCCAUCAAAUGCACUGCUUUGUGUUCUGAAGAUACAUUUUUACUCCAAUAAUAUGGUCUCCAUCGUUGACACUUCAUUUGAACAAACACUCAAGCACAAAAUUUUAAAUUUUUCAGUUGUUGAUGGAAAGUAUCCCCGCGGCAGCUUUGCAACUCGGCGGCAAAGCUACGAGCCUCUCCCAUCAUGACUGUUUUGUGGUUUGCAUUCUUGACAGCGUGGGGGAGAUGGUUUGUAGCAAAAAUUUUCACCUUCAAACUACUUUUAUUAAAGGUACAUUCACGCUAUUACUGUAAUAGGGCGGAGGAUGAGCUUACUUCAAGAGGAAUUGGACGAAACUUCUGGUGAGCCUGUGUUUUUUUAACUUUUUCUAUCAUCAUAUGUUUUUUUUUUCCCCCUUCAUUUUUCUGUUGAAGAAAAACUGCAAAGCAGUGAGAAUGGA